RNAcentral lists this ribosomal RNA (496 nucleotides) under uncultured bacterium. RNAcentral describes it as "partial 16S ribosomal RNA". It matches the Rfam family "Bacterial small subunit ribosomal RNA", at positions 28 to 506 of the family's 1533-position model. The record is from RNAcentral.
GAUGAACGCUGGCGGCGUGCCUAAUACAUGCAAGUCGAGCGAACGGACGAGAAGCUUGCUUCUCUGAUGUUAGCGGCGGACGGGUGAGUAACACGUGGAUAACCUACCUUUAAGACUGGGAUAACUUCGGGAAACCGGAGCUAAUACCGGAUGAUAUUUUGAACCGCAUGGUUCAAAAGUGAAAGACGGUCUUGCUGUCACUUAUAGAUGGAUCCGCGCUGCAUUAGCUAGUUGGUAAGGUAACGGCUUACCAAGGCAACGAUGCAUAGCCGACCUGAGAGGGUGAUCGGCCACACUGGAACUGAGACACGGUCCAGACUCCUACGGGAGGCAGCAGUAGGGAAUCUUCCGCAAUGGGCGAAAGCCUGACGGAGCAACGCCGCGUGAGUGAUGAAGGUCUUCGGAUCGUAAAACUCUGUUAUUAGGGAAGAACAUAUGUUUAAGUAACUGUGCACAUCUUGACGGUACCUAAUCAGAAAGCCACGGCUAACUACGU